Molecule: unclassified non-coding RNA, 465 nt
Filed under: Hevea brasiliensis (rubber tree)
Lineage: Eukaryota; Viridiplantae; Streptophyta; Magnoliopsida; Malpighiales; Euphorbiaceae
Source: RNAcentral
ACGUACCCUUUAACCUAUAGCAAACAAACAAAGAAAAAAGUAAUUGGAAUUUACAUCGGGAAUGAAAAUGCAAGUAAAAUAAUUAAGUGUUCCAGAAAAAUAAAAUGAAACCACCAGAGGAAAGCAAGGCAGCUCAAUAAACAUAAUUGCUAGGCUCAACUCUAACGACAGAUAAACAAUGUUAAAUACCAUAAAAAUGAAACAACUUUAGCAAGCAGGGGACCAAAAUUAGACCAAAAAUAAUCAAACGGCAGAUGAAUCAACAUAAUUGCUAGAUUCAGCUCUAAAAAGAAACCUAAAAAUAUAGAAAUGAAGCAACUUUAGCAAUCAGCAAAGCAGAACAAGCACUAAACUAAUCAAACACCUUAAAAAAAUGGAGAAGAGCACCAUAAUAAGUAAAUAAAUAAGGAAAGGCAAAGAAAAAUAACAACAGUAAAGUAAUAAUCGAUACGAUAUACACCUCAG